UGUCACCUCGUCUCGUCCUCGCAGCAUCGAAGAGUACCUAUGCACUAUAUUCCGAUUCACUGAUAAGGAAGAUAGAGUUGGGGUGGGGGUCUACGAUGUGAUACUAUAGUAUAGUAUGCCCUGGGGAGAAAGAUGCGCAACUCAAAACGGAAGCAGGAAGCGUGUUGUCAAAAAUGUCGGAGGUUACCAGAUCUCUGAGACUACCAUCGAUCCGACAGAGCGGAACGACCAGAAAAAGAAGUGGAGUUAGAA
Molecule: long non-coding RNA, 252 nt
Filed under: Hordeum vulgare
Lineage: Eukaryota; Viridiplantae; Streptophyta; Magnoliopsida; Poales; Poaceae
Description: long non-coding RNA (HVUL_LNC013051)
Source: RNAcentral